CAUGCAAGUCGAGCGAAUGGAUUAAGAGCUUGCUCUUAUGAAGUUAGCGGCGGACGGGUGAGUAACACGUGGUAACCUGCCCAUAAGACUGGGAUAACUCCGGGAAACCGGGGCUAAUACCGGAUAACAUUUUGAACUGCAUGGUUCGAAAUUGAAAGGCGGCUUCGGCUGUCACUUAUGGAUGGACCCGCGUCGCAUUAGCUAGUUGGUGAGGUAACGGCUCCCAAGGCAACGAUGCGUAGCCGACCUGAGAGGGUGAUCGGCCACACUGGGACUGAGACACGGCCCAGACUCCUACGGGAGGCAGCAGUAGGGAACUUCCGCAAUGGACGAAAGUCUGACGGAGCAACGCCGCGUGAGUGAUGAAGGCUUUCGGGUCGUAAAACUCUGUUGUUAGGGAAGAACAAGUGCUAGUUGAAUAAGCUGGCACCUUGACGGUACCUAACAGAAAGCCACGGCUAACUACGUGCCAGCAGCCGCGGUAAUACGUAGGUGGCAAGCGUUAUCCGGAAUUAUUGGGCGUAAAGCGCGCGCAGGUGGUUUCUUAAGUCUGAUGUGAAAGCCCACGGCUCAACCGUGGAGGGUCAUUGGAAACU
Molecule: ribosomal RNA, 596 nt
Filed under: Bacillus thuringiensis
Lineage: Bacteria; Bacillati; Bacillota; Bacilli; Caryophanales; Bacillaceae
Description: bacterial SSU rRNA
Rfam family: Bacterial small subunit ribosomal RNA
Source: RNAcentral